This 492-nucleotide ribosomal RNA is filed under the name uncultured bacterium. Its description in RNAcentral is "partial 16S ribosomal RNA". It matches the Rfam family "Bacterial small subunit ribosomal RNA", at positions 30 to 507 of the family's 1533-position model. The record is from RNAcentral.
CUUGAACGCUGGCGGCAUGCUUUACACAUGCAAGUCGAACGGUAACAGGCCUUCGGGUGCUGACGAGUGGCGCACGGGUGAGUAAUGCAUCGGAACGUACCCAGAGGUGGGGGAUAACGCAGCGAAAGCUGUGCUAAUACUGCAUGUGAUCUGAGGAUGAAAGCGGGGGACCGAGCAGCAAUGUUUGGCCUCGCGCCUUUGGAGCGGCCGAUGUCGGAUUAGCUAGUUGGUGGGGUAAAGGCCUACCAAGGCGACGAUCCGUAGCUGGUCUGAGAGGACGACCAGCCACACUGGGACUGAGACACGGCCCAGACUCCUACGGGAGGCAGCAGUGGGGAAUUUUGGACAAUGGGCGCAAGCCUGAUCCAGCAAUGCCGCGUGCGGGAAGAAGGCCUUCGGGUUGUAAACCGCUUUUGGCAGGAACGAAACGGUGUCCGCUAAUACCGGGCGCUAAUGACGGUACCUGCAGAAUAAGCACCGGCUAACUACGUG